Molecule: long non-coding RNA, 633 nt
Organism: Labrus mixtus (cuckoo wrasse)
Lineage: Eukaryota; Metazoa; Chordata; Actinopteri; Labriformes; Labridae
Exons: 3
Source: RefSeq, a predicted model, not a curated record
ACGACCUCUCCACUGGGAUCUCUGUGGGGUCCCUGACUUGGUCCACAAGGAACCUGCACGUCUCCACACAUUAGGACUAAACUUCACUUGUAAUCAAGAUGGUGGCUGUAUAAAGAGAUAGACAAAGCCUGUGAUGUUCUCUUAGUCAAAAUGUUGUUUUCUUGUGUUUUAUGUUCACUUCCUGUUUUAUUUUGUUAUCUGCUGCUUGUGUAUGAUUUCUAGCCUGACUUCCUGCCAUUGUUCCAACACACCUGUGUCUCAUCUGUAAUUAGUCAGACCUGUAUUUAAACCCCUGAGUUUCCACUGGUCCUCUACCAGAUUGUUACCGUUACCUUAGUGUUUCAUGCGUUCCAGCCUUAUUUACCGUGUGUUUGCUUGGCCGGUUUUGACCUUUUUUUGGAUUUUUGGGUUUUGUGGAUUUGCCCUUUCUGGAUUUUACUGCCCUCGCUGACUGUCUUCUUGGAGGAGUGGAGGUGUUGGAGCAGCGGGGUUAAUCAGAAAACAUGCUGAAAUCAGGAUUUUCCUGCCACCUUCCACCUCAGACCUCCUGCUGCUUCAGACGACAGGGAGAAACACAAAGGAGGAUAAAAAAAAGUGACUUCUGAACAGUUUUUGGGAUAUACAGUCGGCACA